UAAAUGUUUUUAUAAGUCCAAAGACAGGCACUUUCCCAUUUGCACUUGUGAUUAUCAGGGACUUUUCACUGACAUACUUGUUCAGGGUGUCGGCGGGUCCUUAAAAAGAAAAUUUGGACUAAACCACGAUACGUAUGGAUUAGUUCUCUUUAUGAAGUUUAUGAAGUAUCAAAGUGGAAGUUGCUUGGACCAUCAUUCAAGGGACAGAAAUCUUAUAUUCUAAUAUCUUCAAUUGUGUUUCAAAGAUAACAAAAGUCUUGGCUUGGUAAACAAUGAUGAAAUUUUAAUUUUUGAACUAAGCCUGCAAUAAAAGAAUGUGGCCAUAUGCAUCACCCAAGACGCGUGCUAAUGCCAGGUGUGAACAGAGCCACUGUGUGACUACACAAUCAACUUAGCAGAAUGGUUCCUGAGAGAGAUUUUGUUUCAUUAAUAGUUUUUUUCUUUUUUUUUCUUUUCAAGAAGCCAAGUUCCUGGCUUCUCCCAAGACCUUCAAGGACCCAAUUGACCUCGGAAUCCGCUGUAAAUGAGGAUGAAACCGAUUUCUAAGAAUGGGACAGCGAUAUUGCAUCAAUUGGUCUCCUACUUCAUUUGAUUCCACAAGACUGCAAGGGACCUGGAAAAAUGUCCCCCUACAUCUUCAAAAAGGCACCAACAAGAAGAACAGCUUGAUUGCAUAGAAGAGACCACACAGCCAUACCUGCUCGCUGAUGGGACAACGAGGAACAUCAUUCAUGGAUGCUACACAACUGUCAAAGCUGCCUGUCAUAUUUGAUCAUGUCUAGGUAAAUUUGAUGAUUUUGUGUUUUAUUAACUAUUUUAUGUUUCUGUGCAACACUAAAUGAAUGUGACUGACUAAUUAACCUCUACACAUCUGAUAUAUGUUUUAAAGUUGCCACUU
Long non-coding RNA from Sinocyclocheilus grahami, 898 nucleotides. RefSeq lists it as uncharacterized. The transcript has 3 exons. NCBI's taxonomy places the organism in Eukaryota, Metazoa, Chordata, Actinopteri, Cypriniformes, Cyprinidae. The record is from RefSeq and is a predicted model, not a curated record.